CGGAGUCUCAGUGACAAAAAGCUCCCGCUCGGUGCCCAGCGCCUGGCGGCGGUGUCCGACCGCGAACGCAGAGGGCGGCCACGCAGGUGGGGGUGUAGCCCGAAGGGCCGGGCCGGGAGCUGGGGCUGCAGGCUCCGCCGCUGCGCUGUCAGCGCCUGCCCCGUGGCUCUCGGCUGGAGGAGCGGCGGCCGCCUGCCCGGGGCGCGCGUCUGGCUGAGAGGGGCUGGCGCGUCGGGACCACCUGCCGAUGCUGUCGCCGCCGCCGCCGCCUCUGUAGCGAGCGCCCAAGCCCGCCGCGGAGAAAGGUUUACAGCAACCCCUGAAGGCCAACCUCUACAGUGGGCAGCAUGUUCUGAAUGCCUGUGCUGGCUGCGAGGAAAAUGGGGAGAGGAGCCAGGAAAAGCGCAACUGCCCACAUUACCGUGAAUCUCCUCGGACAGCUUUGUAAGUGAGGAGCUGGGGUAUCUGAAUUGCCCCAGGAGGCUCGUUAAGUUCUAAGAAGGUGAGCAAAAUUGAUUUAAUAUAUUAUUUGUGUUAGCUAGCAUAUUCAUUUAAGGUUAAAUUUACAUAAUAGUAAAGUUGUAUUUUUAUGUGUGUUUUGUGUAUUUUUAUACUACAGUGGGGGUUCCUUAUAGAAUUAGUGUGCUCUGGACGUUCGUGGCCAUUUUAUAGGAUUUAGGAGCAGUAUUUUACAUUUUAAAUGAUUACUGUGAAUCCAGUUGUUAUUUUUAUUUUUCCUGCUGCAUUGCUGGUAAUAUCUAGGUUUAUCUGAUGCUG
This 777-nucleotide long non-coding RNA is filed under the name Macaca nemestrina (pig-tailed macaque). RNAcentral describes it as "lncRNA (ENSMNEG00000046022.1)". Lineage: Eukaryota; Metazoa; Chordata; Mammalia; Primates; Cercopithecidae. The record is from RNAcentral.